Molecule: ribosomal RNA, 253 nt
Filed under: uncultured bacterium
Lineage: Bacteria
Description: partial 16S ribosomal RNA
Rfam family: Bacterial small subunit ribosomal RNA
Source: RNAcentral
UACGGAGGGGGCUAGCGUUGUUCGGAAUUACUGGGCGUAAAGCGCACGUAGGCGGACCUGAAAGUCAGAGGUGAAAUCCCAGGGCUCAACCUUGGAACUGCCUUUGAAACUCCGGGUCUUGAGGUCGAGAGAGGUAAGUGGAAUUCCGAGUGUAGAGGUGAAAUUCGUAGAUAUUCGGAGGAACACCAGUGGCGAAGGCGGCUUACUGGCUCGGUACUGACGCUGAGGUGCGAAAGCAUGGGGAGCAAAAGGG